UGGGGAAUAUUGCACAAUGGAGGGAACUCUGAUGCAGCGACGCCGCGUGAACGAAGAAGGCUUUCGAGUCGUAAAGUUCUUUUAUAUGGGAAGAUAAUGACGGUACCAUAAGAAAAAGCCCCGGCUAACUACGUGCCAGCAGCCGCGGUAAUACGUAGGGGGCUAGCGUUGUACGGAAUCACUGGGCGUAAAGGGUUCGCAGGCGGAAAUGCAAGUCAGGUGUAAAAGGCAGUAGCUUAACUACUGUAAGCAUUUGAAACUGCAUAUCUUGAGAAGAGUAGAGGUAAGUGGAAUUUUUAGUGUAGCGGUGAAAUGCGUAGAUAUUAAAAAGAAUACCGGUGGCGAAGGCGACUUACUGGGCUCAUUCUGACGCUGAGGAACGAAAGCGUGGGUAGCAAACAGG
RNAcentral lists this ribosomal RNA (403 nucleotides) under Verrucomicrobiota bacterium. Its description in RNAcentral is "Verrucomicrobia bacterium partial 16S ribosomal RNA". It matches the Rfam family "Bacterial small subunit ribosomal RNA", at positions 355 to 776 of the family's 1533-position model. RNAcentral also lists the same sequence under 1 other name. Lineage: Bacteria; Pseudomonadati; Verrucomicrobiota. The record is from RNAcentral.